Molecule: transfer RNA, 81 nt
Filed under: Minisyncoccota bacterium
Lineage: Bacteria; Bacillati; Minisyncoccota
Description: tRNA-Leu
Rfam family: tRNA
About the family: Transfer RNA (tRNA) molecules are approximately 80 nucleotides in length. Their secondary structure includes four short double-helical elements and three loops (D, anti-codon, and T loops).
Source: RNAcentral
GCCGGAGUGGCGAAAUGGUAUACGCGCUAGUUUUAGGAACUAGUGGGGCAACCCGUGGAGGUUCGAGUCCUCUCUCCGGCA